UUGACCUCAGAUCAGGUAGGACU
Molecule: ribosomal RNA, 23 nt
Filed under: uncultured fungus
Lineage: Eukaryota; Fungi
Description: partial 28S ribosomal RNA
Source: RNAcentral